ACCUUCAAAGCGUAUAUUAAGUUGUUGUGGUUAAAAAGCUCGUAGUUGAACCUUGGGCCUGGCUGGCCGGUCCGCCUCACCGCGUGCACUGGUCCGGCCGGGCCUUUCCCUCUGCGGAACCCCAUGCCCUUCACUGGGUGUGGCGGGGAAACAGGACUUUUACUUUGAAAAAAUUAGAGUGCUCAAGGCAGGCCUAUGCUCGAAUACAUUAGCAUGGAAUAAUAGAAUAGGACGUGUGGUUCUAUUUUGUUGGUUUCUAGGACCGCCGUAAUGAUUAAUAGGGACAGUCGGGGGCAUCAGUAUUCAAUUGUCAGAGGUGAAAUUCUUGGAUUUAUUGAAGACUAACUACUGCGAAAGCAUUUGCCAAGGAUGUUUUCAUUAAUCAGGAACGAAAGUUAGGGGAUCGAAGACGAUCAGAUACCGUCGUAGUCUUAACCAUAAACUAUGCCGACUAGGGAUCGGACGAUGUUACAUUUUUGACGCGUUCGGCACCUUACGAGAAAUCAAAGUGCUUGGGCUCCAGGGGGAGUAUGGUCGCAAGGCUGAAACUUAAAGAAAUUGACGGAAGGGCACCACCAGGGGUGGAGCCUGCGGCUUAAUUUGACUCAACACGGGGAAACUCACCAGGUCCAGACACAAUGAGGAUUGACAGAUUGAGAGCUCUUUCUUGAUUUUGUGGGUGGUGGUGCAUGGCCGUUCUUAGUUGGUGGAGUGAUUUGUCUGCUUAAUUGCGAUAACGAAACGAGACCUUAAACCUGCUAAAUAGCCCGUAUUGCUUUGGCAGUACGCCGGCUUCUUAGAGGGACUAUCGGCUCCAAGCCCGAAGAAAUUUUCA
RNAcentral lists this ribosomal RNA (835 nucleotides) under Trichoderma harzianum. RNAcentral describes it as "SSU rRNA". It matches the Rfam family "Eukaryotic small subunit ribosomal RNA", at positions 587 to 1449 of the family's 1831-position model. Lineage: Eukaryota; Fungi; Ascomycota; Sordariomycetes; Hypocreales; Hypocreaceae. The record is from RNAcentral.